This 450-nucleotide ribosomal RNA is filed under the name uncultured bacterium. Its description in RNAcentral is "bacterial SSU rRNA". It matches the Rfam family "Bacterial small subunit ribosomal RNA", at positions 355 to 796 of the family's 1533-position model. The record is from RNAcentral.
UGGGGAAUUGUUCGCAAUGGGCGCAAGCCUGACGACGCAACGCCGCGUGGAGGAUGAAGAUCUUCGGGUCGUAAACUCCUUUCGAUCGAGACGAAUAGCCUUCGGGUGAACAAUCCGGAGGAAUGACGGUACCGAGAGAAGAAGCCCCGGCUAACUCCGUGCCAGCAGCCGCGGUAAUACGGGGGGGGCAAGCGUUGUUCGGAAUUACUGGGCGUAAAGGGCUAGUAGGCGGCCAACUAAGUCAGACGUGAAAUCCCUCGGCUUAACCGGGGAACUGCUUCUGAUACUGGAUGGCUUGAGUUUGGGAGAGGGAUGCGGAAUUCCAGGUGUAGCGGUGAAAUGCGUAGAUAUCUGGAGGAACACCGGUGGCGAAGGCGGCAUCCUGGACCAACACUGACGCUGAAUAGCGAAAGCCAGGGGAGCAAACGGGAUUAGAUACCCGCGUAGUCC